This 63-nucleotide transfer RNA is filed under the name Ictidomys tridecemlineatus (thirteen-lined ground squirrel). Its description in RNAcentral is "Spermophilus tridecemlineatus (thirteen-lined ground squirrel) tRNA". It matches the Rfam family "tRNA", at positions 5 to 66 of the family's 71-position model. Rfam says of the family: Transfer RNA (tRNA) molecules are approximately 80 nucleotides in length. RNAcentral also lists the same sequence under 1 other name. Lineage: Eukaryota; Metazoa; Chordata; Mammalia; Rodentia; Sciuridae. The record is from Rfam by way of RNAcentral.
AUAUUGCUCAGUGGUAGAGCUCUUGCCUAGCAUGCAUGAGGCCCUGAGUUUGAUCCCCAGUAU